This 301-nucleotide ribosomal RNA is filed under the name uncultured bacterium. RNAcentral's name for it is "partial 16S ribosomal RNA". It matches the Rfam family "Bacterial small subunit ribosomal RNA", at positions 509 to 807 of the family's 1533-position model. The record is from RNAcentral.
CAGUCGCCGCGGGAACACAGAGGGUGCAAGCGUUAAUCGGAUUUACUGGGCGUAAAGGGCGCGUAGGUGGUUUGGCAAGUCUUGUGUGAAAUCUUCGGGCUUAACCCGAAGCCUGCACGAGAAACUACCGGGCUUGAGUAUUGGAGAGGUGAGUGGAAUUUCCGGUGUAGGGGUGAAACGCGUAGAUAUCGGAAGGAACACCUGUGGCGAAAGCGGCUCACUGGACAAUAACUGACGCUGAUGCACGAAAGCUAGGGGAGCAAACAGGAUUAGAUACCCCGGUAGUCCCUGUCUCUUAUAC